UUAACCCUGAGCGUGCUUUCGAUACGGGUUGACUUGAGGAAGGUAGGGGAGAAUGGAAUUCCUGGUGGAGCGGUGGAAUGCGCAGAUAUCAGGAGGAACACCAGUGGCGAAGGCGGUUCUCUGGGCCUUUCCUGACGCUGAGGAGCGAAAGCGUGGGGAGCGAACAGGCUUAGAUACCCUGGUAGUCCACGCUGUAAACGGUGGGUACUAGGUGUGGGGUCCCAUUCCACGGGUUCCCGUGCCGUAGCUAACGCUUUAAGUACCCCGCCUGGGGAGUACGGCCGCAAGGCUAAAACCUCAAAGGAAUUGACGGGGCCCCGCACAAGCGGCGGAGCAUGCGGAUUAAUUCGAUGCAACGCGUAGAACCUUACCUGGGUUUGACAUGGAUCGGGAGUGCUCAAAGAUGGGUGUGCCUCUUUUGGGGUCGGUCACCAGGUGGUGCAUGGCUGUCGUCAGCUCGUGUCGUGAGAUGUUGGGUAAAGUCCCGCAAGGACCGCAACCCUUGUUCACUGUGCCCAGCACGUUAUGGUGGGAACUCAGUGGAGACCGCCGGGGUCAACUCGGAAGAAGGUGGGGAUGACGUUAGGUUAUCAUGCCCCUUAUGUUCGGGGCUUCACGCCUGGUACAUUGGCUGGUACAGAAAGUUGGGAACCUGUGAGGGUGAGGGAAUCUCGGAAAGCCGGUUUUAGUUCGGAUUGGGGUUUGCAACUCGACCUUUUGAAGUCGGAGU
This 730-nucleotide ribosomal RNA is filed under the name uncultured Propionibacterium sp. Its description in RNAcentral is "bacterial SSU rRNA". It matches the Rfam family "Bacterial small subunit ribosomal RNA", at positions 609 to 1332 of the family's 1533-position model. The record is from RNAcentral. Lineage: Bacteria; Bacillati; Actinomycetota; Actinomycetes; Propionibacteriales; Propionibacteriaceae.